This 2917-nucleotide long non-coding RNA is filed under the name Triticum aestivum (bread wheat). RNAcentral describes it as "long non-coding RNA (TAES_LNC016198)". Lineage: Eukaryota; Viridiplantae; Streptophyta; Magnoliopsida; Poales; Poaceae. The record is from RNAcentral.
UGCGAUCUUAUUUUGUUUCAGUUUUUUGCUAGCUUUAACAUUGGCCUUUGUUCAAAUCCUAUUCAGGUUGAACCAUAGAAAGCGAGCACUCAAAGCUACAGAGGCAACCAGUCCAAAGGAAUAAGUAAGGUAAUGUGUUUCCAGUAUUCCUAAAAUAAAUGAAGUAAUGGUGUGAUUAACACUAACAUUGAUGUUCCCCCUCUUCUAUAUAAAAUGAUACGCACACUUGUGCGUAUUCGAGGAAAAAAACCAGUAACAUUGAUGGAUCAGUCGUUUCUGUUGAAAAAAUCAUCAGACUCUGUUAAGCCAGAUUCCAUUCAUUUUGCUUUUUAGCUCUGCAAACUGUGCAUCUUGACUGUUUAGCACAUCAUAUGGUUAUGUAAAGUGUCGCUGCAAAGAAAUGUCGCCGGUAACAAUGAUUAAAGUUCCAGUUCCCUGAUAGUGUAUCUUACCACAUUCAGUUUUGGUAGCUAUAAUGGGAGAAAUGGAGUCCGAGGAUGGUAUGGGUUGUGCAUUAUUCCCUUUCCCACUAAUGAUUUUGCCAGUCAAACUUGGGAUGUGAUCAAGAAGGUGGGGAAGCAACAUAGUUUUAGUGGCGGUGCUAUUGUUAAGUGCACCGGAAUUUAGCAACAAAAAUAAUGCAGGAACAGUUUGAAUAUCUUAGUUCGCACUUCUGGGCAGUGAGUCCGGCACUUGGACGGGACUCCAAACUUCAAAUUCUCAUAGCUCCAAAUUAUUGGACACAACCUGAUUUAUAAGUUAUCUUAAAUUCCAAGUUAUGUGAUGUAGACAAUCUAAAAUCAUUACUUCUUUCGUAGGGAACAUAUAUUGGUGUUUGAUGAGGCAGAUCAAAUUCGUCAUCGUGAUUUGCAAUCCCAUGUUGACUAUCAUUUCUCUGAUUCCCAAAGUUAGACCAGCUUUACAGUUUUUUGUUACAUAGACAAAGUCACUUAAGAAACUAGCAAGCGUUAGCUUGAAGAUUUCUGACCAUUUAAGUGUGCAUGAACAUGCUACCAUGGCCACCCCACAUACCCUUGAAGCGGUGUGCCAUGAUCGUCCUCUUGAACUAUAUGCUUUGGAAUUUUAUCAGAAGGCAUCUGAAGUAAAAAUAGUAGGAAGGCUCGAACUUGCCCAUCUUCUAAUUUAGUGUUGCUCACAUUUAGUCUUAUCCACGACAGAUUACCACACGAAAUGUUUAAGUUGGACAAAUAACACAAUGGGUAUCAUCAUUUAGCCUACAAUUUUGUAUCUUCUCCUGCAAUUUUAGUGUGCGAGUUUAGUAUCAUAUCCAGAUUAUUUGACAAAUUAUCUAGGGAUCUGGAGAUAUCAUUUAGCUCUUAAAACAGGUGAUUAGAACUUACACCAAACCUUUCUUUGUUGAUGUUGUUAUUCUUGCUUGUUGGCACAUUUGGAAACAAAGAACUGGUUUCAUUCUCAAGGACUAGGGUUCUUCAGUAGUAGUCAUCUAAAUAUUACUCCCUCCGGUCCUAAAUAUAAGUCUUUUUAGAUAUUCCAGUAUGGACUAUAUACGGAGCAAAAUGAGUGAAUCUACACUCUAAAGUAUGUCUACAUACAUCUGUAUGUAGUACUUAUUGAAAUCUCUAAAAAGACUUAUAUUUAGAAAUGGAGGGAGUAGUUUGUAAAAAAAUCUGGGUGGUGAAGUCGUGAAGAUACAUGCCUCCCUGUUGUCAUCUUUUAAAUAUUUUUUGCAGUAGUCAUCAUCUAAAUAUUAUUUUGUAAAUUUUUGUCAUCAUUUUAAACACGAAGCCCGGUGGGGGUAUUUUCUCCGUAGUUCACUUAUUAUUUUUUCAUGGCUAUGCUGAGUGCAGCACUGCACUCAAUUUUGAAAUAUUUAAUGUGAAAACAUAUUGUAUUUGGGUUGGCGCCAUCAUUCUAUGGAAUUGUUUACAAAGACAUGAUGUUGGAUAAUGUGGAAACGGAUUGCUGCCCUGACUUGCAUUGGCAAAUUGCAAAACUUCAAAACAGUAGACAGGAAGCAACAAAAUAGUUGUUGGUCUGACAAAAUUAAUAAAAAUUGAGAGUAGUGCUGCUGUUAGUCUACCAUUCAAGGGCAUGAUCAUAACCAAUGUACUGUUAAUAGGCUUGUAAAUCAUUUUUAUUUAUUAUUUUGUAUUAGUCGAGAGUUCGAGACAUGCAUUGCACAAGAAGACAAGACAACAUGGUGUAUAUAUAAGUAUGCAUCAAAUGUUAAUAUCUACAAUAUGCUGAUUGCUUUUCCAUCUUUGGGGUGCUAUUGUUGUCUUAGGACUUUGAUAUGAACCUCUGACUCUUUUUUACCGCUUUCUGCUUUGAGUCAGGUCAUGCCAGUUCAUUCAACUGUUCAAGCUCAACUAAGUGUUGCAUUGAAAUUUGCAAGUAACCUUGCUUCAACAUAAGAGAAUUGGGUGAUGGACGUGAUAUCAACAUGGUUAUGGACUACCAUGUAUGUUCAUAAAUAUGUACACCCUUUGGGGUCGGGCCCGCCGCCAUCGCGGACUAGGCCGGCGACAGCGGCGGUAGGAGGGGAGAUGGGAGGGACCUGUCGGCACAAGGGUUGGUGUCCCCUGGCGUCGCCCAAGGGAGGCGACGCGAGGGGGUAAGGAGACACAACUUGGAACAUGGUAAUUUUUGUUUAGGCUCUUACCUUUUGUAUUUGCACAAUGGUUGAUUUCCGUUUGAAAUGUUCAGGUACAUAAAGUUAGAGUAGUGGAGUAAAGCUUAAGAUUUUUUUUGUAUGAUUAAUUCCUGAGAUGUGAAAGCUUAUACAUGGAAUAACUCGGUUUCUUGAUCUGUACAUAAAAUAUGUGUGAUAUUUGAUUCAAGAGGAGUAUUGAUUCAUGAAGAUAAGACAUGCAUUGCGCAAGAAGACAAGACAACAUGGUGUAUAUAUAAGUAUGCAUCAAAUAUUCAUAUGUAC